CUUACGGGCUGCUUACCAUGCAGUCGACGUGAAGGGGCUUCGGCCCUGAGUAAAGUGGCGCACGGGUGAGUAACGCGUGGAUAAUCUACCCGACGAUCUGGGAUAACAUCUCGAAAGGGGUGCUAAUACCGGAUAAGCCCACGGGGGCUCAGGCUCUUGCGGGAAAAGGGGGGGACCUUCGGGCCUUCUGUCGUCGGAUGAGUCCGCGUACCAUUAGCUAGUUGGUGGGGUAAAGGCCUACCAAGGCGACGAUGGUUAGCUGGUCUGAGAGGAUGAUCAGCCUCACUGGAACUGAGACACGGUCCAGACUCCUACGGGAGGCAGCAGUGGGGAAUUUUGCGCAAUGGGGGAAACCCUGACGCAGCAACGCCGCGUGAGUGAUGAAGGCCUUCGGGUCGUAAAGCUCUGUCAAGAGGGAAGAACUGUGGGCGGCUAAUAUCCGUACCACUUGACGGUACCUCUGGAGGAAGCACCGGCUAACUCCGUGCCAGCAGCCGCGGUAAUACGGAGGGUGCGAGCGUUGUUCGGAAUUAUUGGGCGUAAAGCGCGUGUAGGCGGUCUUGUAAGUCUGAUGUGAAAGCCCCGGGCUCAACCUGGGAAGUGCAUUGGAAACUGUGAGACUUGAGUACGGGAGAGGGCAGUGGAAUUCCUAGUGUAGGAGUGAAAUCCGUAGGUAUUAGGAGGAACACCGGUGGCGAAGGCGGCUGCCUGGACCGAUACUGACGCUGAGACGCGAAAGCGUGGGGAGCAAACAGGAUUAGAUACCCUGGUAGUCCACGCCGUAAACGAUGAGUACUAGGUGUUGCGGGUAUUGACCCCUGCAGUGCCGCAGCUAACGCAUUAAGUACUCCGCCUGGGAAGUACGGUCGCAAGACUAAAACUCAAAGGAAUUGACAG
Molecule: ribosomal RNA, 897 nt
Filed under: uncultured delta proteobacterium
Lineage: Bacteria; Deltaproteobacteria
Description: bacterial SSU rRNA
Rfam family: Bacterial small subunit ribosomal RNA
Source: RNAcentral